AGAGUUUGAUCAUGGCUCAGGAUGAACGCUAGCUACAGGCUUAACACAUGCAAGUCGAGGGGCAGCGGGAUUGAAGCUUGCUUCAAUUGCCGGCGACCGGCGCACGGGUGAGUAACGCGUAUCCAACCUUCCGUACACUCAGGGAUAGCCUUUCGAAAGAAGAUUAAUACCUGAUGGUAUGAUGAAAUUGCAUGAUAGCAUCAUUAAAGAUUUAUCGGUGUACGAUGGGGAUGCGUUCCAUUAGGUAGUAGGCGGGGUAACGGCCCACCUAGCCUACGAUGGAUAGGGGUUCUGAGAGGAACGGUCCCCANAUUGGAACUGAGACACGGUCCAACUCGUACGGGAGCA
RNAcentral lists this ribosomal RNA (348 nucleotides) under uncultured bacterium. RNAcentral's name for it is "bacterial SSU rRNA". It matches the Rfam family "Bacterial small subunit ribosomal RNA", at positions 8 to 350 of the family's 1533-position model. The record is from RNAcentral.